Hydra vulgaris (swiftwater hydra) is the source of this 513-nucleotide non-coding RNA. The record is from RefSeq and is a predicted model, not a curated record. NCBI's taxonomy places the organism in Eukaryota, Metazoa, Cnidaria, Hydrozoa, Anthoathecata, Hydridae.
UUUCUAUCAUCCAAAAUUAGCAAUUAGCAUUACACAAAACAUUGCACGUAAUGUUAAGAAAAAAUUUAAGCGUUUCUGACUAUGAUAUAGAAAUCAUAACAAUUGAAAUAAAUAAUAAUAAAAAACAAUACAUGAUCAGAAGUGAAUUAUUUAAAUUUACGUCAUAACCAAAUAACUUGUGGUGAUCGAAUGGAAGAAGAAUCGCUGAUAUCACGAUUGUGGAGAAACAAGUUAGUGGGCGGUUGUUUACUUUACCAUAAAAAUGUCUUAACUUUAUUUUAACAAUCUUUAAAAUUUGCAUAAAUAGAGUAGAUAUUUUAUCAUUGCUAUUGAGAAAUAGGAAAUUGUGGAUCAUUCAAAAAACAUAAAAUUAUAAACAAAAUGUUCUACAUUCAUCAGCUGGGAGAUGUUGAUGUUAAGAAACACCUCAUCAACUUAAAGGUCAUGCGAUUAAACGAUAAUAAUAUUUGGGAAGAAAAUGGACUUAUUGCAAAUAGACUUAAAAGAAAUCUU